Molecule: ribosomal RNA, 466 nt
Filed under: uncultured Planctomycetaceae bacterium
Lineage: Bacteria; Pseudomonadati; Planctomycetota; Planctomycetia; Planctomycetales; Planctomycetaceae
Description: bacterial SSU rRNA
Rfam family: Bacterial small subunit ribosomal RNA
Source: RNAcentral
UACCUACGGGUGGCUGCAGUCGAGAAUCUUCGGCAAUGAGCGCAAGCUUGACCGAGCGACGCCGCGUGCGGGAUGAAGGCCUUCGGGUUGUAAACCGCUGUCGUAGGGGAGCAAGAGAUGAGGGUACUCCCUCUGAUUUGAGCGAUCCUAGGAGGAAGGACGGGCUAAGUUCGUGCCAGCAGCCGCGGUAAGACGAACCGUCCAAACGUUAUUCGGUAUCACUGGGCUUAAAGAGUUCGUAGGCGGCUCCGUAGGUGAGGUGUGAAAUCCCUCGGCUCAACCGAGGAAUUGCGCUUCAAACCGUGGAGCUUGAGGUAGACAGGGGUAAGCGGAACAGAUGGUGGAGCGGUGAAAUGCGUUGAUAUCAUCUGGAACACCGGUGGCGAAAGCGGCUUACUGGGUCUUUUCUGACGCUGAGGAACGAAAGCUAGGGUAGCGAACGGGAUUAGAUACCCUUGUAGUCCUC